Molecule: long non-coding RNA, 977 nt
Organism: Carassius gibelio (silver crucian carp)
Lineage: Eukaryota; Metazoa; Chordata; Actinopteri; Cypriniformes; Cyprinidae
Exons: 6
Source: RefSeq, a predicted model, not a curated record
UCUGAAGUUUCAACCCAUUCUCACUCCAAAGGCGUCAAAAACCGAAGCAUGGUCAAGCGCCCCUAGCGUCACUUUUAUGACGCCAAAUGUGCCUCUCGGCGUCGAAUAUCGAAGCACUACGACCUUCAUUGCUUUCAAUGGGAAACUUUUGGCGUCAGAAUUCGACACGAGGACAUGAGAUGUUUAUCGCUAUGAAAUCACGUGCAAGAAGUCUCAUUCAGCACACAUCGCGAUACUUGCUAUCAGUUCCACAGUUUGGCUGAAAAGACGUAAAGGCAGUCAGCCCAGUGGUGUUUCUGGAGAGGGAUUCCUUCAGAAAUGGAGAAGACAGAAAGCUGCGGAGGCAGAUAUAUGCAGCAGUCUAAAAUAUCAAGCUCAACAGCUCACUCAAGAGCCAACCCUCACAAACCUUCCUAAAAACUAAAAGAGCUAUUACUGAGUCUCAGCGAAUCUUGCCAUGAUCAGCUCUUCCCAGAAGAGAAGGAAGACCAAGGAAAUGAUUUGCUCAGGAUGAGGAAUGAAGAUGGCCAUCUUGUGCUCAAACAAACAGAAGUCCUCUGUAUUUUAAUUUGUACAGAUGAUCUUAUCAGCCAAAUGAGGGGUUUUGACCAAGUGAUGCUCUUGAAAGGAGUGAAAGAAGAGGAUGUGCUAAAUUCUCUUCAGAGAAAAAGCUUCUCAAAAGGUCUCAAAACAGCUUGAAGAAUGGUCUGGGAUCUUAGGACUGAGAGAUCCUCUGGCUGAGAACAAGCUACACCACAUCAGUGCUGGAUAUCAACCACAAACUGUUUCCAGACACGAAAGAAGAAGAACACGAUAGGGAGAUGAAACCAGUUUAGAUGUGAUGAUGGGAAUCAUUAUUUUCUGGAACAGUAUCUCAUGUCUUAUAUGUAUCACAUGAUCUGUAUCACAGUUGACUGGAUGGGACUGUGUGACUUUUAAGGACAUUUCAUCACUCAUCUGUGUGAACUGAUUUAUAU